AGUGAACGCUGGCGGUAGGCCUAACACAUGCAAGUCGAACGGCAGCACAGGAGAGCUUGCUCUCUGGGUGGCGAGUGGCGGACGGGUGAGGAAUACAUCGGAAUCUACUCUGUCGUGGGGGACAACGUAGGGAAACUUACGCUAAUACCGCAUACGACCUACGGGUGAAAGCAGGGGAUCUUCGGACCUUGCGCGAUUGAAUGAGCCGAUGUCGGAUUAGCUAGUUGGCGGGGUAAAGGCCCACCAAGGCGACGAUCCGUAGCUGGUCUGAGAGGAUGGUCAGCCACACUGGAACUGAGACACGGUCCAGACUCCUACGGGAGGCAGCAGUGGGGAAUAUUGGACAAUGGGCGCAAGCCUGAUCCAGCCAUACCGCGUGGGUGAAGAAGGCCUUCGGGUUGUAAAGCCCUUUUGUUGGGAAAGAAAUCCAGCUGGCUAAUACCCGGUUGGGAUGACGGUACCCAAAGAAUAAGCACCGGCUAACUUCGUGCCAGCCGCCGCCGUAA
This 506-nucleotide ribosomal RNA is filed under the name uncultured bacterium. RNAcentral describes it as "partial 16S ribosomal RNA". It matches the Rfam family "Bacterial small subunit ribosomal RNA", at positions 29 to 523 of the family's 1533-position model. The record is from RNAcentral.